GACGAACGCUGGCGGCGUGCUUAACACAUGCAAGUCGUACGGUAAGGCCCUUUCGGGGGUACACGGGUGGCGAACGGGUGAGUAACACGUGAGUAACCUGCCCACAACUUUGGGAUAACGCUAGGAAACUGGUGCUAAUACUGGAUAUGUGCUCCUGCUGCAUGGUGGGGGUUGGAAAGCUCCGGCGGUUGUGGAUGGACUCGCGGCCUAUCAGCUUGUUGGUGGGGUAGUGGCCUACCAAGGCGGCGACGGGUAGCCGGCCUGAGAGGGUGACCGGCCACAUUGGGACUGAGAUACGGCCCAGACUCCUACGGGAGGCAGCAGUGGGGAAUAUUGCACAAUGGGCGCAAGCCUGAUGCAGCAACGCCGCGUGCGGGAGGACGGCCUUCGGGUUGUAAACCGCUUUCAGCAGGGACGAAGCUUUUUGUGACGGUACCUGCAGAAGAAGCACCGGCUAACUACGUG
Molecule: ribosomal RNA, 465 nt
Filed under: uncultured bacterium
Lineage: Bacteria
Description: partial 16S ribosomal RNA
Rfam family: Bacterial small subunit ribosomal RNA
Source: RNAcentral